GACGAACGCUGGCGGCGUGCUUAACACAUGCAAGUCGAACGGUAAGGCUCCAGCUUGCUGGGGUACACGAGUGGCGAACGGGUGAGUAACACGUGGGUGACCUGCCCUGCACUUCGGGAUAAGCCUGGGAAACUGGGUCUAAUACCGGAUAGGACCGCACCGUGAGGGUGUGGUGGAAAGUUUUUUCGGUGUGGGAUGGGCCCGCGGCCUAUCAGCUUGUUGGUGGGGUAAUGGCCUACCAAGGCGGCGACGGGUAGCCGGCCUGAGAGGGUGGACGGCCACAUUGGGACUGAGACACGGCCCAGAAUCCUACGGGAGGCAGCAGUGGGGAAUAUUGCACAAUGGGCGGAAGCCUGAGGCAGCGACGCCGCGUGGGGGAUGACGGCCUUCGGGUGGUAAACUCCUUUCACCAUCGACGAAGGGUUUCUGACGGUAGAUGGAGAAGAAGCACCGGCUAACUACGUG
RNAcentral lists this ribosomal RNA (465 nucleotides) under uncultured bacterium. RNAcentral describes it as "partial 16S ribosomal RNA". It matches the Rfam family "Bacterial small subunit ribosomal RNA", at positions 28 to 507 of the family's 1533-position model. The record is from RNAcentral.